UUUGUAAGUGUUUAAGGGCACAUGGUGGAUGCCUUGGCAUCAGGAGCCGAUGAAGGACGUGGGAGGCUGCGAUAUGCCUCGGGGAGCUGUCAACCGAGCGUGGAUCCGAGGAUGUCCGAAUGGGGAAACCCGGCACGAGUGAUGUCGUGUCACCCAACCCUGAAUAUAUAGGGGUUGGGGGGGAACGCGGGGAAGUGAAACAUCUCAGUACCCGUAGGAAAAGAAAACAAUAGUGAUUCCGUGAGUAGUGGCGAGCGAAAGCGGAGGAUGGCUAAACCGUGCGCAUGUGAUACCCGGCGGGGGUUGUGUGUGUGGUGUUGUGGGGUUUGUGUUCUGUGGUCCGCCGAUCGCAGCAUCAGUAGUGGCGUGUUAGUCGAAGUGGCCUGGGAUGGUCUGCCGUAGACGGUGAGAGCCCGGUAGGUGAAAACAUGUCAUCUGGUGUCAUGAAUACCCGAGUAGCAGCGGGCCCGUGGAAUCUGCUGUGAAUCUGCCGAGACCACUCGGUAAGCCUGAAUACUUCCUGAUGACCGAUAGCGGAUUAGUACCGUGAGGGAAUGGUGAAAAGUACCCCGGGAGGGGAGUGAAAGAGUACCUGAAACCGUGUGCCUACAAGCCGUCAGAGCCCUCCUUUGGUGGGGUGAUGGCGUGCCUUUUGAAGAAUGAGCCUGCGAGUCAGGGACAUGUCGCGAGGUUAACCCGGGUGGGGUAGCCGCAGCGAAAGCGAGUCUGAAUAGGGCGUAUCCCCGUAAGGGGUGUAGUGGUGUGUUCUGGACCCGAAGCGGAGUGAUCUACCCAUGGCCAGGGUGAAGCGCGGGUAAGACCGCGUGGAGGCCCGAACCCACUUAGGUUGAAGACUGAGGGGAUGAGUUGUGGGUAGGGGUGAAAGGCCAAUCAAACUCCGUGAUAGCUGGUUCUCCCCGAAAUGCAUUUAGGUGCAGCGUUGCGUGUUUCUUGCCGGAGGUAGAGCUACUGGAUGGCCGAUGGGCCCUACUAGGUUACUGACGUCAGCCAAACUCCGAAUGCCGGUAAGUGAAAGCGUGGCAGUGAGACGGCGGGGGAUAAGCUCCGUGCGUCGAGAGGGAAACAGCCCAGAUCGCCGGCUAAGGCCCCUAAGCGUGUGCUAAGUGGAAAAGGAUGUGCAGUCGCAUAGACAACCAGGAGGUUGGCUUAGAAGCAGCCACCCUUGAAAGAGUGCGUAAUAGCUCACUGGUCAAGUGAUUGUGCGCCGAUAAUGUAGCGGGGCUCAAGCACACCGCCGAAGCCGCGGCAACAUAGCAAUAUGUUGGGUAGGGGAGCGUCCUGCAUCCAGCGAAGCCACCGAGUGAUCGAGUGGUGGAGGGUGUGGGAGUGAGAAUGCAGGCAUGAGUAGCGAUAAGGCAAGUGAGAACCUUGCCCGCCGAAAGACCAAGGGUUCCUGGGCCAGGCCAGUCCGCCCAGGGUGAGUCGGGACCUAAGGCGAGGCCGACAGGCGUAGUCGAUGGACAACGGGUUGAUAUUCCCGUACCCGUGUGUGCGCGUCCCUGAUGAAUCAGUGGUACUAACCACCCAAAUCUCGGAUCAUCUGCGACCUUCGGGUCAAGGAGUUCUGGGGGCUGCGUGGGACCUUCACUGGUAGUAGUCAAGCGAUGGGGUGACGCAGGAAGGUAGCCGUACCAGUCAGUGGUAAUACUGGGGCAAGCCCGUAGGAAGAACAGUAGGCAAAUCCGCUGUUCACAUAUUCCGAGAGGUGAUGCAUAACCGGAUGAGGUGAAUUCGGUGAUCCUAUGCUGCCGAGAAAAGCCUCUAGCGAGCACACACACGGCCCGUACCCCAAACCAACACAGGUGGUCAGGUAGAGAAUACCAAGGCGUACGAGAGAACUAUGGUUAAGGAACUCGGCAAAAUACCCCCGUAACUUCGGGAGAAGGGGGGCCCACACACCGUCAACACCCUUCGCGGUGGGCAGCGGGAGUGGGUCGCAGAAACCAGUGAGAAGCGACUGUUUACUAAAAACACAGGUCCGUGCGAAGUCGCAAGACGAUGUAUACGGACUGACGCCUGCCCGGUGCUGGAAGGUUAAGAGGACCCGUUAACCCCUCGGGGUGAAGCGGAGAAUUUAAGCCCCAGUAAACGGCGGUGGUAACUAUAACCAUCCUAAGGUAGCGAAAUUCCUUGUCGGGUAAGUUCCGACCUGCACGAAUGGCGUAACGACUUCUCAACUGUCUCAACCAUAGACUCGGCGAAAUUGCACUACGAGUAAAGAUGCUCGUUACGCGCGGCAGGACGAAAAGACCCCGGGACCUUCACUAUAGCUUGGUAUUGAUGUUCGGUACGGUUUGUGUAGGAUAGGUGGGAGACUGUGAAACAAUUACGCCAGUAAUUGCGGAGUCGUUGUUGAAAUACCACUCUGAUCGUAUUGGACCUCUAACCUCGAACCGUCUAUCCGGUUCAGGAACAGUGCCUGGUGGGUAGUUUAACUGGGGCGGUUGCCUCCCAAAAUGUAACGGAGGCGCCCAAAGGUUCCCUCAACCUGGACGGCAAUCAGGUGUUGAGUGCAAGUGCACAAGGGAGCUUGACUGCAAGACGGACAUGUCAAGCAGGGACGAAAGUCGGGACUAGUGAUCCGGCACCCCCGAGUGGAAGGGGUGUCGCUCAACGGAUAAAAGGUACCCCGGGGAUAACAGGCUGAUCUUCCCCAAGAGUCCAUAUCGACGGGAUGGUUUGGCACCUCGAUGUCGGCUCGUCGCAUCCUGGGGCUGGAGCAGGUCCCAAGGGUUGGGCUGUUCGCCCAUUAAAGCGGCACGCGAGCUGGGUUUAGAACGUCGUGAGACAGUUCGGUCUCUAUCCGCCGCGCGCGUCAGAAGCUUGAGGAAACCUGUCCCUAGUACGAGAGGACCGGGACGGACGAACCUCUGGUCCACCAGUUGUCCCACCAGGGGCACCGCUGGAUAGCCACGUUCGGACAGGAUAACCGCUGAAAGCAUCUAAGCGGGAAACCCCCUCCAAGACCAGGCUUCUCACCCAUCAAGUGGGAUAAGGCCCCCCGCAGACCACGGGAUCAAUAGACCAGACCUACAAGCCCAGCAAUGAGCUCAGGGAACUGGCACUAACCGGCCGAAAACUUACACACAC
RNAcentral lists this ribosomal RNA (3111 nucleotides) under Mycobacterium sp. 1245111.1. Its description in RNAcentral is "bacterial LSU rRNA". It matches the Rfam family "Bacterial large subunit ribosomal RNA". Lineage: Bacteria; Bacillati; Actinomycetota; Actinomycetes; Mycobacteriales; Mycobacteriaceae. The record is from RNAcentral.